This 453-nucleotide long non-coding RNA is filed under the name Androctonus crassicauda. The record is from RNAcentral. Lineage: Eukaryota; Metazoa; Arthropoda; Arachnida; Scorpiones; Buthidae.
GAUACAAAAUUUUUUAUACAAAAUUCUAGUGAAUAGUAAUGAUAUUCUAUGCUCUUGGUCCCCCAUUCAGCUUGCUGCUCGGCAGACCGCUCCCCUCGUCCCACUGUAAGUACGUUACUGCAUUAGAUAAAGUAAGAAUGAAAAAAACUAUAUUCCAAUUCACGAUUUUUCUAUUCUUAUUGAACAUUAUAAAGUGCGUAUUAUUUUGGAAUAAUGUAUACAGUAUAGUAUGUUAUGAAUUAAUAUGUACAUUUUAGAGUGCGAUUUUAGUUUACUUAAUCAAAAUUUUAAAUAGAAUAUAUUGGAAUAUUAUUACAUUUAAAGCAAUGGUCUCAAACUCUCGGCCCAAUACGCCCUUUCUUGGCUUUGGUCGAACUUUUAUUAUAUUUGGAAGAACAUUUAGAAAAUAGCCUACUGUGUUCAGAAAAAAAUUGCAAUAAUUUUUCAUGAAAU